This 264-nucleotide small RNA is filed under the name Actinoplanes utahensis. RNAcentral describes it as "Actinobacteria sRNA Ms_IGR-5". It matches the Rfam family "Actinobacteria sRNA Ms_IGR-5". Lineage: Bacteria; Bacillati; Actinomycetota; Actinomycetes; Micromonosporales; Micromonosporaceae. The record is from Rfam by way of RNAcentral.
ACACGUGAAGGGAGGUGGUCCAAAGUUGUGUAGCACUGGGACUCGUGAGGUGGCUGUCCGCUAGCCGCUGUCCUCGACAGCUUUGGUUGUCUGUCGCCGGGCGAUCCGCCUGACGACAGUUCUCGAAGACCGUCGAGACCGUGUGGCAGCGGUCGCGGCGAAUACCAGACAGCCACCCGACCCCUGGGGAUCCGGCCUUGUCCGACCGGACCUCGUUCGCGCGCGAUGAGCGUUCGGCGAGGAAGUCCCCAGGGGUCGCUUCAU